RNAcentral lists this ribosomal RNA (433 nucleotides) under uncultured bacterium. RNAcentral describes it as "partial 16S ribosomal RNA". It matches the Rfam family "Bacterial small subunit ribosomal RNA", at positions 29 to 507 of the family's 1533-position model. The record is from RNAcentral.
AACGAACGCUGGCGGCAUGCCUAACACAUGCAAGUCGAACGAGACCUUCGGGUCUAGUGGCGCACGGGUGCGUAACGCGUGGGAACCUGCCCUUAGGUUCGGAAUAACUCCCCGAAAGGGGUGCUAAUACCGGAUAAUGUCUUCGGACCAAAGAUUUAUCGCCUUUGGAUUGGCCCGCGUUGGAUUAGCUAGUUGGUAGGGUAAAAGCCUACCAAGGCGACGAUCCAUAGCUGGUCUGAGAGGAUGAUCAGCCACACUGGGACUGAGACACGGCCCAGACUCCUACGGGAGGCAGCAGUGGGGAAUAGUGGACAAUGGGCGAAGGCCUGAUCCAGCAAUGCCGCGUGAGUGAUGAAGGCAUUAGGGUUGUAAAGCUCUUUUACCCGGGAUGAUAAUGACAGUACCGGGAGAAUAAGCUCCGGCUAACUCCGUG